GUGGAAAUAGUGGGGUUUGUCGGCGUCGUGGGGGCUGUCUUCUCUUUUUGGUAUUGUUGAAGAAGAAAACAUGCAUAUCUCAAGUUUUCAAAGGAAAGCCCAGAUGCAGCUUGAAAAGAGCUCAAAGUUCAGUUGUUAUCAGAUCUGCUUCUGAGGACAAGCAUUUGACACUGUGACCAGGCUUUCUGGGAAUGAACUAAUCCCACUGUGUUAUUAAUGGAGUUAUUCAACAGUACCAGACACAGAACCCUGAGGGACACCAGUUGUUACUAAGCUCUGUUUGGACAUUGAGCUGUUGACUGAAACUCUUUGGUCAUGGCCAUCUGCCCAAUUCCUUAUCCAUAGAAGAGUCUAUGUCUCCAACUUAGAGACAAGGAUGUUGUGUGGGACUGUGUCAAAGGCCUUGCAGAAGUUAAAGUAGGUACUUAAGUAGCUCUUCAUUUGUUUUAUUCAAUCUUUGUUUGUCACUGAUUUAGUCACUUUGUUGUAGAAGGCUACCAGGUUAGUCAGGCACAAUUUGACCUUUGUGAAGCCAGAAAAAUCAGAAAAUAAGUAU
This is a long non-coding RNA of Pezoporus occidentalis (night parrot), 556 nucleotides long. RefSeq lists it as uncharacterized. The record is from RefSeq and is a predicted model, not a curated record. NCBI's taxonomy places the organism in Eukaryota, Metazoa, Chordata, Aves, Psittaciformes, Psittacidae. The transcript is spliced from 3 exons.